GGGCCUGGAGAUUUGGUGACUGUCUUGCUGUUCGGUGAUGCAGCAGAACACUUGCAGUUGCUUGGGUGGCCUGGCCCUUUCAGUUGCAACUUGCAAAGUUCUGUAUGUAUCCUUUGGGUUGUUGAUUCUGAACAUUUUGUGCAACUUGUAUGUAUCCCCUACUUCAUCACCAAUUCGUUUGACCACACCACUUGCUUGCUGAUCUUCACAGGCAUAUAAUGUGCACCCUUGGUCAUCCGAUCCCAUGAACUGCUAACGAAACAACGCCCAACGUCGUGACUGUGGUCACGUUCUGCAACCAAGCAACCGCCCUCCUCCGUUCUCCUCCAGCAGCAGCAAAAGGUUUUUUCCUCUCCCUUGUUACUGAAUUUAAGUUGGAGACAACAUUUAAGUUAUGAACCUUGUUACUAAAUCAUGUUGUGAAUCACUUAAGUUCUGAACCAUUGGAAUUUCUGAAUCAUGAACUUUGUUAAGUUUUUAAAAAGAUGAGUACUAGUACAUCCAGGACACAUAGGCAACCCAAAUCCGACAUGUU
RNAcentral lists this long non-coding RNA (535 nucleotides) under Triticum aestivum (bread wheat). RNAcentral's name for it is "long non-coding RNA (TAES_LNC015739)". Lineage: Eukaryota; Viridiplantae; Streptophyta; Magnoliopsida; Poales; Poaceae. The record is from RNAcentral.